RNAcentral lists this microRNA (21 nucleotides) under Zea mays. RNAcentral describes it as "zma-miR164h-5p". Its record names the gene zma-miR164h-5p. RNAcentral also lists the same sequence under 1 other name. Lineage: Eukaryota; Viridiplantae; Streptophyta; Magnoliopsida; Poales; Poaceae. The record is from miRBase by way of RNAcentral.
UGGAGAAGCAGGGCACGUGUG